GACGAACGCUGGCGGCGUGCUUAAAACAUGCAAGUCGAACGGACUUCUCAUGAAGCUUGCGAUUGAGAAGUUAGUGGCGGACGGGUGAGUAACGCGUGGGCAACCUGCCCCUGAGCCCGGGAUAACAGUUCGAAAGGACUGCUAAGACCGGAUAUACUUGCGGUGAAGCAUUUCACUGCAAGGAAAGGGAACGCUCAGGGAUGGGCCCGCGUCCCAUUAGCUAGUUGGUGAGGUAACGGCCCACCAAGGCGACGAUGGGUAGCCGGCCUGAGAGGGUGAACGGCCACACUGGGACUGAGACACGGCCCAGACUCCUACGGGAGGCAGCAGUGGGGAAUAUUGCACAAUGGGCGAAAGCCUGAUGCAGCGACGCCGCGUGAGGGAUGGACGGCCUUCGGUUGUAACCGUACUUUCUAGCAGGAAGAAGCGAAAGUAGACGGUACCGUGCGAGAAGAAGACACCGGCCGUAACUAACGUGCCACGCAGCCGCGGAAACCAUACCUCGUA
Molecule: ribosomal RNA, 507 nt
Filed under: uncultured bacterium
Lineage: Bacteria
Description: bacterial SSU rRNA
Rfam family: Bacterial small subunit ribosomal RNA
Source: RNAcentral